AGGUACCUUUGCUGAGGGAGACACGGGGAUCCCUCUGACUCACUGGCUUCUGGGCUCAUUUUCCUUUGCUGCUGCUUCUGUCACACGUUUCUAACUUGGACCUUGACGUGCUGUUGCUUCAGACAAGCUGUUCAGAUGGGACUGGGACAAAGUGAGGUCCAGCUAAUGUCCUGGGCCUCCUUACAGCUGAUGUCCAUGUAGGAUUUCUAGGGCAAAUAAGUAAAACUUCCUUCUGGUUACAGUCCUCUCAAGUCCUAGAAGGCUGGUAUUGUAAGAAUCUUUUUUUCCCACCUCACAGAUCUCUUCUGUGGAUCCAGUCAAUGUCAAAUGGUUGUGGAUGACCCACAAUUUAGAGAUCUAUUUCUUCUGCCUAGGUUGUCUCAAACUUGGGCAGGAGGACUUUGUCCUGUUUUAAAAAUCCUGCUGAACAACAAUGAUGGCUCAACACUGGCUUUGUUUGCCCUUUUUGUUCUUUUCAUCACCUUAUCCUUCUCCUUAGGUGUGUUGGCUGAAUCAGAAGCUUUGAGCAUGGAAAUGGGGGCAGAAGCCACCUGUGCCACUUCUUAUGUGUGUUUUUUAAAUCACACAGCCUUUUUCUGCAAUUGUAGAAAAAGUGUUUGCUGGUGGGCGGCGUCCUGCUGCAGACCACAGAGGAGGGGGCGUGCGCUCUGCUCCAGCGGAGAGCAGCAAAGGGGUCUUGCAAGCAGCAGGAAGAUCAAGAAAAAAUGAUAAUUCUUGGGACUCUGAGACUGAGUCUGAAGAUGAAGGGAAAGCGUCGGCUGCUGUCCAGCUGCCUGCUGCAAACAGCAACAGGUUGGAUGCGCCCUCUGCUGCAGUGGAACAUGGCAAAGGUAGUUUCAGAGGGACUAAAUGCUUACCUUUGUAAGCCUCUCUGGAGUGAAUCAGAUGCAGAAAAGCAGACUAAAAGAAACACUCAUAGCUGUUGUGUGCUUAUCUUUCCUUAGAAGUCUUGAAACAAACAUGGAGAGAAGUGAAAAAGGAAGAGAGAGUCUUGCAGCCAGCAGCGGAGGAAGCAAAACA
Molecule: long non-coding RNA, 1041 nt
Filed under: Zonotrichia albicollis (white-throated sparrow)
Lineage: Eukaryota; Metazoa; Chordata; Aves; Passeriformes; Passerellidae
Description: lncRNA (ENSZALG00000014282.1)
Source: RNAcentral